AGUGAACGCUGGCGGUAGGCCUAACACAUGCAAGUCGAACGGCAGCACAGUAAGAGCUUGCUCUUACGGGUGGCGAGUGGCGGACGGGUGAGGAAUACAUCGGAAUCUACUUUUUCGUGGGGGAUAACGUAGGGAAACUUACGCUAAUACCGCAUACGACCUACGGGUGAAAGCAGGGGAUCUUCGGACCUUGCGCGAUUGAAUGAGCCGAUGUCGGAUUAGCUAGUUGGCGGGGUAAAGGCCCACCAAGGCGACGAUCCGUAGCUGGUCUGAGAGGAUGAUCAGCCACACUGGAACUGAGACACGGUCCAGACUCCUACGGGAGGCAGCAGUGGGGAAUAUUGGACAAUGGGCGCAAGCCUGAUCCAGCCAUACCGCGUGGGUGAAGAAGGCCUUCGGGUUGUAAAGCCCUUUUGCUGGGAAAGAAGAGCAGCAGGUUAAUACCCCGCUGUUCUGACGGUACCCAAAGAAUAAGCACCGGCUAACUUCGU
This 491-nucleotide ribosomal RNA is filed under the name uncultured bacterium. Its description in RNAcentral is "partial 16S ribosomal RNA". It matches the Rfam family "Bacterial small subunit ribosomal RNA", at positions 29 to 506 of the family's 1533-position model. The record is from RNAcentral.